UACGUAGGUGGCAAGCGUUAUCCGGAAUUAUUGGGCGUAAAGAGCGCGCAGGUGGUUGAUUAAGUCUGAUGUGAAAGCCCACGGCUUAACCGUGGAGGGUCAUUGGAAACUGGUCAACUUGAGUGCAGAAGAGGGAAGUGGAAUUCCAUGUGUAGCGGUGAAAUGCGUAGAGAUAUGGAGGAACACCAGUGGCGAAGGCGGCAUCCUGGACCAACACUGACACUGAAAAGCGAAAGCCAGGGGAGCAAACGGG
Molecule: ribosomal RNA, 253 nt
Filed under: uncultured bacterium
Lineage: Bacteria
Description: partial 16S ribosomal RNA
Rfam family: Bacterial small subunit ribosomal RNA
Source: RNAcentral